RNA transcript from Neofelis nebulosa (Clouded leopard), 1063 nucleotides. It is a transcript of the gene named myeloid leukemia factor 1, with no coding region annotated. The transcript has 9 exons. NCBI's taxonomy places the organism in Eukaryota, Metazoa, Chordata, Mammalia, Carnivora, Felidae. The record is from RefSeq and is a predicted model, not a curated record.
CGGGCACCGCCUUCGCAGCCGGGAGAGAAGCGUUGACUGUGUGGGGAAGGCUGGCUCGGGUCGCGGCCGCGGCGAGUUACAUCCUUUUCCAAUCUGUCCGCGUCCGCCGCCGCCCGUGACGGAGCCAGGAUGUUCGGGAUGCUGAGCAGCAGCUUUGAGGAUGAUCCCUUCUUCUCCGAUUCUUUUAUUGCACACCGAGAAAGUAUGCGACAGAUGAUGAGAAGUUUUUCUGAACCUUUUGGAAGAGAUUUGCUCAGCAUCUCUGAUGGCAGAGGAAGAGCUCAUAAUCACAUGAGACAUGAUGAUGGUGAAAAUUCUUUGACUGUAAUGAAUUCUCUUAUGCCUUUUGGCAGUUUUGGUGGUAUGCAUACAGAUGUCAACCCUUUUCAGGCAAUGGACCGAAUGAUGUUAAAUAUGCGAAACAGUAUGCAGGAAUUACAAAGAAACUUUGGUCACCUUUCAGUGGAUCCAAAUGGACAUUCAUUUAGUUCUUCCUCAAUUAUGACUUAUUCCAAAGUAGGAGAUGAACCACCAAAGGUUUUCCAGGCCUCAACUCAAACCCGUAGGGCUCCAGGAGGAAUAAAGGAAACUAGGAGAGCAUUGAGAGAUUCUGACAGUGGACUAGAAAAAAUGGCUGUUGGUCAUCAUCUUCACGACAGAGCUCAUGUCAUUAAAAAGUCAAAGAACAACAAAACUGGAGACGAAGAGGUCAACCAAGAGUUCAUCAAUAUGAAUGAAAGUGAUGCUCAUGCUUUUGAUGAUGAAUGGCAGAAUGAGAUUUUGAAGUACAGACCAGCGGGACAGUGGCGCCAUGUGGAAAACCCUAGGAUGCGAAGUGUCGGUCAUGAGAAUUCAGGCUCCCGAGAACUUAAAAGAAGGCCAUAAGAGAGUGGAGGAUUGCUGCAGAAGGUGGAGGGCUUCACAGAACCAGCGAUGGACAAGGAGAAACCUCAUCAAAGUCCAGCCAUUGAACAUGGAAGAAGAUCAAAUGUUUUUGUGGACAAACUCAACAUCAAAGGAUCACCUGUGAAAAUCAACAAAAAAUAAAUAGGCUUGCAGUUGA